This 270-nucleotide small nuclear RNA is filed under the name Jaculus jaculus (lesser Egyptian jerboa). Its description in RNAcentral is "7SK RNA (ENSJJAG00000008987.1)". It matches the Rfam family "7SK RNA". Rfam says of the family: 7SK was discovered as an abundant small nuclear RNA in the mid-70s but a possible function has only recently been suggested. Two independent studies have found that 7SK RNA binds the CDK9/cyclin T complex (known as elongation factor P-TEFb). P-TEFb activates transcription by phosphorylating the C-terminal domain of RNA polymerase II. The record is from Rfam by way of RNAcentral. Lineage: Eukaryota; Metazoa; Chordata; Mammalia; Rodentia; Dipodidae.
GGAUGUGAGGGCGAUCUGGCCGUGACAUCUGUCACCCCAUUGAUCACCAGGGUUGAUUCAGCUCAUAUGGCUGGCUAGGUGGGUUUCUCUUUCUUCUCUCACCACUCCAUGCAUGUCCCUCCCAAAGUUACACACUUGGUCAAAGAAAAUGACCUUCCCCUAGUAGAGGAGGACUGGUCUUGUGCUCCCCUGCUAGAACCUUCACACAAGCUCUCAAGAACAUGUUCUACAAAUGGAAUCAGAGUAUAUGUAGUCUCUUGAGAUUUGCUU